Long non-coding RNA from Enhydra lutris kenyoni (northern sea otter), 6533 nucleotides. RefSeq lists it as uncharacterized. The record is from RefSeq and is a predicted model, not a curated record. NCBI's taxonomy places the organism in Eukaryota, Metazoa, Chordata, Mammalia, Carnivora, Mustelidae. The transcript is spliced from 4 exons.
GGGAAAGAGGUCACCCCACCUGGGUUAUUUCUCUAAGAGCUUGAUCUUUUCAAAUUCUAAAGCUCUGCAAGUUUUGGGAAUUCAAGUUUCUACCCAUUCUUUGGGUAGAGGUUAAGAGGCAGUGUCUGGUUGACAUCGUGAGACCCUGGAGAAAGUCCCUCCACUCUCCGUGCCUUAGUUUCUUCAUCUUCAUCUGAGGUAUGGGGACAACAAUACCCACAUCUCCAGGGUGCCUGUCUGUAAUGGCACCUUUCACUUAGUCAGUGGCUCUGUGUGUUGACUCUCAUGAUCGAAGAUGGCACUUGCUUCUGAUUCCUGGGGAGGCCAACAAAACGAAAGUAUAUUCUAGUACGGUUGCAAUGGCCAUUCCACUGGCCAUGCCGUCUGCUGGAUUCUUUUAAUGCAAACCACCUCACUGAUAAGGAGAACUACCACGAAAACCACCCCUGAAAAUCAGGAAUGACACCUGUCCUAGAAAACACACCACCUGUACUAGGGAGCCCCACUCACACAGGCAAACAGCCCUUUUGGACGGGGUCGAACAGGAGACUGUAUAAGCUUGGGUCACUAAGAAGGCUGGUGAGUUGGGAGCCAUGUGCAUCUUCUUGAUAGGUGGUAAAAUCAAUCCUGAGUCAAGCAAAACCCUCCAGGAGUUCACCAGGCUUCCAGAUGUCCUCCACCUCCUAAUGGAAAGAGUUUUAACUUCUUCAAACGUAAAAUAGUGUGCUUCCUAAUUAUGUCAUUUUGAUGCACUGAAUCGCAAUUUCUGACUUAAACAGGCCCACACUGUGAUCCGGGACCACAGGAAUAGUUUCUUACUGGUGCAGAGGCAUGUUUUUCUGGUUUUGUUCCUUUUCUUUGUGGGGGAUACCCAACACCCUCAAUGUGAUUUUAAAUUCGACCAUCGAGGACUAGGUCUUGCCCAUCUCUACUCACGCCGGAGGGUAGCAGCGCUAUGAGGGACAGGAGUCUGGACCUCUCGGUACUUAAUAUUAUCCAUUUGUCAGGAUAUAAUGCUAGCCUAUUCCCCGUGAUAUCCCUUCUUUCCAAACCGACCUGGUUUCUUGCGGACAUAAUUCACAUCGUGGAAUUUGCGGACCUGUCUGGUACCCACCGUGGUACCGGGAGGUCUCCCUCAAUAGCCAACAGAGGAGAGAGAAUGAAUAGGCAGCUGAGGUUUUCCCAGCCUGCUGGUAGGGUGGGGGUGCCUGACAGGCGUUGGGGUACCCUGAUAGAGUGGAGAGAGGCUAAGGGCAGAGGACACUACUAGGAGUCCGGAGAUACUUGCGGUUGGCCUGGAGCGGGAACGGGAGCUGCUGCUCCUUCCCCAUGACAGGCGACCAACAGCCCUCGUUUGGAGAGCUGGAGCCAACAGGUUGCUCACCACCAGGAAGCAGGAAGCUGCCCCACUGCCAACAUUGUCCUGCUUCCCACCUCUGUUGACUACUGACAUUACGCCUUCUGUGAUGUCCAGCCCAGAUUAAAACUCUUUCUGGGUCCUAGGGAUUUCUCCUGCAUCGGACAGAUCACUUUAAACUGUAGAUCAUGCCUGCCUCCCCUCAUGAUGCACGGCUGGUCAACCUCGGCCCCAAGCCACUAGGCUCCGUACCCCCCCGCCACCGCCCCUUCCGCACAGGCAAUUUUAACAUGGAAGCUUCAUUACUUAUCACUCUGAAAGAAGGCGACAAUAGCUCAUGCUCUCGCUGUUGUAAAGCAAAAGGCUCCACCAUUACAUGCCUGUGUUGCUACCAUUGAUCACAGGGCCGCAACCAGAGGGAAGUAAAUAAACCAACCCGGGUUAGUUUAUGAUGCGUACUAUUGAGACGCAGGGCGGAAUAAAUAUUUUCCAAGUGUGGAAGUCAAGAAAAGGAAUUUUACUUUCAAACUUCGCAGUGUGCUAUAAACUACAGAGGGAAAAAAAUAGAAGACCCAUAAACUAUCUCUCACUUAACCACCAAAUCUACAUUAAAAUAUUAAUAUUCAGAAUGUGACAACGCCACAAAGAAAGGCAAUGAAAAAUGAAAUCGUAUCCAGUCUCCGUUCAUGUCGCCCAGAGGCACCUUAUUUUUUGCUGACGAGCACGAGAUAUGGACUCUGAGGCUGGGCCUUCCUGGCUCUCCCCUGUGCUUUGGUCGCCAACUCCCCCCUGGUGACACCAUUUCCUACUGGCCAGGAGUUCGCCAUUGGGGGUCUAGAGGCCUGAUCUGAUGCGGAGUCGCAGUUCUGACAGGUGCGUCUGGCCCCUUCGUCACUGUACCAUGUUCUGCCAUCUGCGUGAUGGGGUGAGUCUUGAUUCCUUACUCCCUUGGCCAAACCUGGGUUUCCAUAUACCUACAAUGUAGAGAGCUUCUAAGGUCCAGAGGGUCACGGUCAGGCUGUCUCAGCUGCGCUCACAGAGGCAGGUACGUGUGUAGUUGACCUUCACAGGUUUUACCGACACCCUAUAUCAAGGUCACCUGCAAAAGUAACGUGAGAAAUGGUGGCCAACUGCAUGUCAGCAUUUCUUUCCUUACAACCUUCUCUCAAGGGCUUUGCUCUUUUGCCCAGGAAAAAUGUAACCUCAGGCAUAGAUAAUCUUUAGGACCCUGGAAAUCCUCUCCUCCCUGUCUACUAAUACACGUGGGUCUAACAAAGCUUUUGUGCUUUCGUUUUAGCUGCAUAUGGUACUGGGCUGAUGGUCCUGAUAUUUAUUUGCAGAAAUUCUUGUUGGGCAAGAACACAACAUUUCCUUCUUCUGUUUCAGUGACUCAGACAGUUGCUGGGGUACUGACUAUGUGCGCAGCCAGGACUGCAAAGAACUCCCUUGGUUUAGCUUCCCUGAAAGCAUUCCUGUUGAUGAAUGUUUCUGAUUUUCACCCUUAUUCUGGUCUUAGCGGUUCUCCCUGCCCCUUGCAUACCGUCAGCACGGAGUGGAAAACUCUGACGUGGCCUCAUGAAUCAAACGGGCAGACUUUGGGAAUGGUCAUGGGCUGUACAAACGCUGUACAACUGCUGUGAUCACAUCCUGCUGUGACUGAGGGGAAGUUUGGCUUGGAAAGAACUUGUUGCACAGAUACAUGUGGCCUCAGCAGGAUGGAUCCUUAAUGGAGGAGACAGAUUCCAGAUUCAGGCCCGCUGGAGCAGGGCUUAAAUCCUCCGAAUUCGGAUGGACGGAUACUGGGCCUACUUCAGCAUCACUGAGAAGUCAGUGACCCACACCCCGCGAGCGCGUGGUCGACAGAGCCGGAACUCCUGUCCCAAAUGCUCCUUCCAGGUGCCCCUCUGAGGAAGAGCUGACAGAUGAGGUGCGACGUGGAUGGACAUCUGGCCUCGUGAGCCUCUUAAUCUCGACAAAGCCCGCUACAUGCACCAUGCUGGACGGCACCUACACACGCAGAGCGGCCUGGGCCGGGGAAGGAGCCACGGCGAGAGGGAUGGCAGUUCGGGAGAGCAUCAGGACAGAACCAAGGAAGGGCAAGAGGCUCCGGGGGGCGGAGGGGACUCAGAAGUGGAAAAUGCGCAGGAGGCCGGGGAAGGACAAGGCCCGAGAAAGGACGGACGGCGGGUAAAGCGGCAGGUCUCCAGGGAACGGCCAGAGAUGCUGGACCACGGACGAGCGAGUGAGUGGGUGAUGGGGCAAGAGCACAGAGGUGGGACCUACGGACGACGGUGCGAGGAGCCACGGAAAAGCCUGAGACACACAGGGCCGGAGUCCGACUUCAGUGGUCUGUGGUGGUAGUGGUCUGUGGUGGACAGUGGUCUGUGGUGGAGGGCAGGAACGUGGUCCUCACCCUUCCGACUGCCGUCUACAAUCUACUCUGCCCGGAGGCUCUCUCUCCCUACAGGAUACCCCCGCCUGGGGACAGUGUACGCCGACGCAAAUAUACACGUAUUUCUUCAUAAAGAGAAGCAGCCAUUCACGCCAGAUCAGCAGUAAAUGAUCGCAGUGUCCCGUAUUUUGCAUUCACAGACCAUUUUGUCCACGAAAGCCAAUGGAAGCACGAGGAGAAAGAGACCCAGAAAGCAUCGUGGUACUUGGAAAACGUGGCUGCAAGUCCUUCCCGUCAAGAUGUGGAGGCUACCCCCCACCCGCCCUGAAUUUGGCGAACUCGUGAGAGCUUUGAUUGGGGGGCAGAAGUGGUACCAUUUCCAAGGCGAGGCGAGAAGAGGCCUUGCUGCUUCUGCCUCUCAGGAAGCUCCCCCCCAACCCAGCUGCCAUUUUGAAAUGGCCAAGCCACAGGGGAAGGACUCGUGGAGGUCCCCCCACGGAGGGUCCCAGCCAAGCUCGGCCCGGAGUCAUCCCCACCCAGGCUCGGGACAUGGGAGGGAAGUGCUCUCUGGAUUAUUCUAGCCCCUGGAAUUCAGAUUCGAGUCACCCGGACACCCUGGAGCAGAGACGAGCCAUCCCGGCUGUGCCCUGGCCCAAUUCCUGACCCACUGAACCGCCCCCGCCCAUCAGGCUGGGGGAACAUCCCCGCAGGGGAGAGGCGAGCCGUCCAACCCAAGGACCUGCGGAAGAGGCACCCCGGAUCGCAGGCAACGCGGUCCGGCAGAAGGGCGUGCGCCCUGGAGUGCGGCGGGCCGGGUUCAAAUCCCAGCCCCACGUGGAGGUCACAGGUAGAUUGAAUAAGAUCUUUAGUCUCUGCGCGUCAGAACCCUGCCUGUGGGAUUCGGCUCAUGGCUUCUGCUGGCUGCAGAGAGUAAAUAAUCUUUAUCUACUGCGCAGGUGGGCAUAAAGUCAGCACCCAAUCCAGUAUUUCCGGUGGGAACACUACCACUGCUGUUUCUGCUCGGGUCUCCCUCGGAGAUGCUGAACAGGGAAGCAGGAGGAAAUAAAGGGUGCACCCCGUUCCUCAAGAGGUCACGCACGUAGAAGGGAUUCGAGAACUACACGGCAGCGCUCACAGGGACCGCCAAGGAGAACCCCAUAAAAAAUGGCGCCACAUGACUCUGGAAAACUCAGACUCUCAUGCUGGUUGCUCCCAACCCACGCUCAAGAUCUCGGACACACGGCCACCCCUGCCUCUGUUUCCGUACUCCGGAAGGAGAUUCUGAACUCUGUCCCUGAGGCAUUUGCAAACGGGAGCGCACGUGUGCUGUCUGUUUGCUUGUUUGUUUCAAGGGGUGGGGGAGUCACGGAACCACAUCGGUCUUAGGAUCCCCGUGGGUGAACCAAGUCCGUCUGCCUGGCUGGCAGAGUAAAAGAAACGGGGUAUUUUCGACCACAUGUCAUGAGUCAACACCUGCAUUGGGAGCGGUCACCCACAGCAGCUUUUUUUAUCUUUUCAUACAGAGACGGACAGAGAAGGGAAGACGCAAAGGCCUCCAGCCUUACCUCCGAGCUAAUGGGCAUGAAUGAGCCAGGCGCUCGGGCUUCUCUGCAGAGGGCACGCCCGCAGAUUCUGGGGUCGCUGAGCCUGAAAACGAUCCCGAGAAGUCCUCCCCAGGAGUACGCCUCUCUGAGACCGGCCUCUGGGUUAUAUGCCUCAGCCCCCGCCGCGCCCCCACCAGGUGCGACAAUACGAAACACCAGAGUGCUCUCUCCACGGCCUCUGCCGCAUUGAUUCCACCUGCUGGGGCCGUUAUUAGAUAAACAUGCUUCGUGCUGCCACGAGAGGGUCACAACACAAAGGACUGGGGAAGAGGAAGGAAAAUGAGGAGUCUAUGGAGUCACUGGCACCCACUUCUUAGGGACAAGGUGUUGUUCUGUGAAGAACGGGCACUUCCCGGGACACCUGCCGUCCCUUUCUCUGCUCUCCUCCUCCUGUUUCUGCAACCGAAUCCUUGGUUGCUGGUGUGUCUGCAUGGCUGAUGGAGAAGGAAGGAAACAGAGGUAGCACCACAGUCUGCCCUCUGCUGCGGUUAACGAAGACCACGUGAGACAGGACAGAACGGGGAGAGGAGACGAUCCGUGCUCAGGUGAAAGUUCUUCUGCACUCCAGCAACAGGGGACACAACCUGCUUCCCUCCUCCUCCUCCACCUCCCUCACCCAUCCCUCUGGCACUGUGCCACCUGGAUCGUCAUGGGCCCCACAGAAGAAGGAGUCCCCGCACAGGGGUGGAAACACAACGGAGGAAAAUCCCUGGAGGAAAAGACAACAGACUUUUGGUUUUAGCAAGAAUGAACUAGAAAGUCUCCAAACCAGCGACUUGGAGAAACGUGAUCUUUAGGUAACUGCUCCACAUUUGCUAAGACUUCAUAGUUCCCGGGAAGACAGAUCAACGGGAUGAAUGACCAAGCCACCCGCAGGCCAUGUCCACUGCGGGGGUACAACGGAGAUUCACAUGGGGCCAUGCUGGGCUCCCCCAACAAGACCUAGGAGUCCAGAGCCCUGGUCUGCAUUCCGACCAUGCCGAUUGCUUCUGCGCUCUGGGCCUGUUGUGAUGCUCGUCCUUCUCAGGAUUUGUGGGAUGAAGGUGAAGCUGAAAAGCACUCCAUCAACUCCAAAAGGAGUUCUGGAGUAUAUUUAUAUGUAUAUAAAUGGGUAUACGUUUGGUAUACAUUUAAAUGUUGAAACACUGGGUGUUACUGUUCCAAAAAAGUUUCCAGAACU